RNAcentral lists this long non-coding RNA (798 nucleotides) under Mus musculus (house mouse). RNAcentral's name for it is "long non-coding RNA chr16:40011245-40012043". The record is from RNAcentral. Lineage: Eukaryota; Metazoa; Chordata; Mammalia; Rodentia; Muridae.
AGGCUUUGUUUUCCAAAUUAGAAUGCAUGAUUGGAGCCCCUCAUCUCAUGGAAUUAGUUGUUAAUGGUAGAUUUCAGCCUUUCCAAAGAAAUAGGUCGAAGUUACAAUUGUUGUUUCCAUGACACACUAGAAUGAAUGAACAUUCCUAUAUUGAGCAAGACAGGAAAGAUAUCAGAAACAGUGCCUACAGCCCCUCCCUAUGCAAGUGAUGCUAGCUCAGGUAUGUCUUUUACCCACAUUUUCCUUCAACAGUGCUGCUGCACCCAGUCUUAGAUGAGGAUGCUUUUCCUUCUGUUUCUGUUAAGUACUGAAGAAGGAUGGAGAGGAUGCUCUCAGAGGAGACCCCAAGAAUAUGCUCUCUUCUGGUUUUCUGAAUUAACUCUGAGUUAUCAAUGUAUUCUUCAGUGGGCUUUCAAUUGCCAUGACUCUGCCAUGUAAGGAAAGAGAUUACAAAAGUGGGAGAUAACUCACCUCGGGAAAUUGAUGCUUUCUUUUCAUGUAAACACUUCUUGUAAAGAUGCCUCACGAUAGUUGAUGGGAGUCACCUCUUGCAUACUUGAGUUUAUGGGACAAAUUCUCCUCUGAGUUUCCUCCACUAUAUUGCAUUAUGAGAAUAGGAAUUAGCCUCGCUUUCUCUCUCUCUCUUUCUCUCUCUCUCAACACUGAAGUGUCCCCACAAUGGUAGUUAUGAGAACAGCACUAUUUAAUAUUUUCUUUGAUAGAACAUUUUAAAGGGAACCCUGGGUGCAUAUUGCUUGGCUUUGUUUUCUUUUCAAACCCUUAGGCAAGAAGCAUUUG